Limulus polyphemus (Atlantic horseshoe crab) is the source of this 406-nucleotide long non-coding RNA. RefSeq lists it as uncharacterized. The transcript has 4 exons. Lineage: Eukaryota; Metazoa; Arthropoda; Merostomata; Xiphosura; Limulidae. The record is from RefSeq and is a predicted model, not a curated record.
UAUUAAGGUUGUUGAACCAGACAGAACGUCAUGGCGGACUCGCUUGAAAGUCAAUCAACAGCAGCUCUGCUGAGUAUGAAAGAUGGUGAACAUUGAAUUCCCUUAGUAUGGAUAAUGUAAUAUGAAUCUGAAGAUGUCCAAGUAAUUACGAUCCACCAACUCCAGAAAGCCAUUCUGGUGCCAAUAAGAGAGCUGCUCAAAAAAUUGGUGUUCAGCUUUGAAACCUUUUGAAACUACCAAAAUCCCACAGAUGGGUGUGGUUUUAUUCAAAUAUUGACAAGCCACUUUUCUUUGGUGACAAUGAAUUUUCAGUGUGUGUGUUCGAGAAUCUUUCCCUCAAUUGAAGACCAGAAAACUGAGACGUGAAGAAUGGGUCAAAAUCAGAAGACUCAUGGGAAAGCCUCGA